RNAcentral lists this non-coding RNA (148 nucleotides) under Nomascus leucogenys (northern white-cheeked gibbon). The record is from Rfam by way of RNAcentral. Lineage: Eukaryota; Metazoa; Chordata; Mammalia; Primates; Hylobatidae.
GCCGGGCGUGGUGGUGUGUGCCUGUAAUCCCAGCUACUCAGGAGGCUGAGGCAGGAGAAUUGCUUGAAUCCAGGAGGUGGAGGUUGCAGUGGGCCGAGAUUGUGCCACAGCACUCCAGCCUGAGUAACAGAGCAAGACUCUGUCUCAA